AGCCAAGUCGCGUGAGGGAAGACGGUCCUAUGGAUUGUAAACCUCUUUUGCCGGGGAGCAAAGAGCGGCACGUGUGCCGCGCCGAGAGUACCCGGAGAAAAAGCAUCGGCUAACUCCGUGCC
RNAcentral lists this ribosomal RNA (122 nucleotides) under uncultured bacterium. Its description in RNAcentral is "partial 16S ribosomal RNA". It matches the Rfam family "Bacterial small subunit ribosomal RNA", at positions 390 to 509 of the family's 1533-position model. The record is from RNAcentral.